Molecule: ribosomal RNA, 400 nt
Filed under: uncultured bacterium
Lineage: Bacteria
Description: bacterial SSU rRNA
Rfam family: Bacterial small subunit ribosomal RNA
Source: RNAcentral
ACUGCGAUGGGCGAAGCCUGAGCACGACGCCGCGUGAGGGAAGAAGGUUUUCGGAUCGUAAACCUCUGUCGGGAGGGAAGAAACCUUCAACGGUUAAUACCCGUUGGAAUUGACGGUACCUCCUAAGGAAGCAUCGGCUAACUACGUGCCAGCAGCCGCGGUAAUACGUAGGAUGCAAGCGUUGCUCGGAAUUAUUGGGUGUAAAGGGCGCGUAGGCGGCCUGAUAAGUCAUUGGUGAAAGCCCUCGGCUCAACCGAGGAAUUGCCAGUGAUACUGUCGGGCUAGAGUACGGGAGAGGGAAGCGGAAUUCCUGGUGUAGCGGUGAAAUGCGUAGAUAUCAGGAGGAACACCGGCGGCGAAGGCGGCUUCCUGGACCGACACUGACGCUGAGGCGCGAAAG